Molecule: ribosomal RNA, 440 nt
Filed under: uncultured bacterium
Lineage: Bacteria
Description: partial 16S ribosomal RNA
Rfam family: Bacterial small subunit ribosomal RNA
Source: RNAcentral
CCUACGGGUGGCAGCAGUGGGGAAUAUUGCACAAUGGGCGCAACCCUGAUGCAGCGACGCCGCGUGAGUGAUGACGGCUUUCGGGAUGUAAAACUUCAUCUGCAGGGGAGAAAAUUACGGUACCUGAUUCAGUUUCCCCGGCUAACUACGUGCCAGCAGCCGCGGUAAUACGUAGGGGGCAAGGGUUAUCCGGAUUUACUGGGUGUAAGGGGAGCGUAGAGGGCAGCACAAGUCAGGAGUGAAAUGCCGGGGCUUAACCGCGGAACUGCUUUGGAUACUGGGAGGCUAGAGUGCAGUUGAGGUAAGUGGAAUUCCUAGUGUAGCGGUGAAAUGCGUAGAUAUCAGGAGGAACACCAGUGGCGAAGGCGGCUUACUAGACUGCAACUGACGUUGAGGCUCGAAAGCGUGGGGAGCAAACAGGAUUAGAUACCCGGGUAGUC